Molecule: ribosomal RNA, 253 nt
Filed under: uncultured bacterium
Lineage: Bacteria
Description: partial 16S ribosomal RNA
Rfam family: Bacterial small subunit ribosomal RNA
Source: RNAcentral
UACGAAGGGGGCUAGCGUUGCUCGGAAUCACUGGGCGUAAAGGGCGCGUAGGCGGGCCAUCAAGUCAGGGGUGAAAGCCCCCAGCUCAACUGGGGAAGUGCCUUUGAUACUGGUGGUCUCGAGGGGGAUAGGGGCGUGCGGAACUUCCGGUGGAGCGGUGAAAUGCGUAGAUAUUAGGAAGAACACCAGUGGCGAAGGCGGCUCACUGGUCCGGUACUGACGCUGAGGUGCGAAAGCGUGGGGAGCAAACAGG